This 71-nucleotide transfer RNA is filed under the name Marmota monax (woodchuck). RNAcentral's name for it is "tRNA.Val". Lineage: Eukaryota; Metazoa; Chordata; Mammalia; Rodentia; Sciuridae. The record is from RNAcentral.
GGUGGUAGCUCAAUUGGUAGAGUGCUUGCCUGACUCGAAUGAGGCUCUGAGUUUGAUCCUCAUCACCACCA